RNAcentral lists this ribosomal RNA (484 nucleotides) under uncultured bacterium. RNAcentral's name for it is "partial 16S ribosomal RNA". It matches the Rfam family "Bacterial small subunit ribosomal RNA", at positions 29 to 507 of the family's 1533-position model. The record is from RNAcentral.
AUUGAACGCUGGCGGCAUGCUUUACACAUGCAAGUCGAACGGCAGCGCGGGCUUCGGCCUGGCGGCGAGUGGCGAACGGGUGAGUAAUACAUCGGAACGUGCCCAGUAGUGGGGGAUAGCUCGGCGAAAGCCGGAUUAAUACCGCAUACGACCUGAGGGUGAAAGCGGGGGAUCUUCGGACCUCGCGCUAUUGGAGCGGCCGAUGGCAGAUUAGCUAGUUGGUGGGGUAAAGGCCUACCAAGGCGACGAUCUGUAGCUGGUCUGAGAGGACGACCAGCCACACUGGGACUGAGACACGGCCCAGACUCCUACGGGAGGCAGCAGUGGGGAAUUUUGGACCAUGGGCGAAAGCCUGAUCCAGCAAUGCCGCGUGUGUGAUGAAGGCCUUCGGGUUGUAAAGCACUUUUGGCGGGAACGAAAAGGACUGUGCCAAUACCACGGUUCGAUGACGGUACCCGCAGAAUAAGCACCGGCUAACUACGUG